CCGCCCGUAGCACAACUGAUAGUGCAACGGCCUUCUAAGCCGUAGGUUGCAGGUUCGAGUCCUGCCGGGCGGGCCA
Molecule: transfer RNA, 76 nt
Filed under: Gammaproteobacteria bacterium
Lineage: Bacteria; Pseudomonadati; Pseudomonadota; Gammaproteobacteria
Description: tRNA-Arg
Rfam family: tRNA
About the family: Transfer RNA (tRNA) molecules are approximately 80 nucleotides in length. Their secondary structure includes four short double-helical elements and three loops (D, anti-codon, and T loops).
Source: RNAcentral